CCUACGGGCGGCAGCAGUGAGGAAUAUUGGUCAAUGGCCGGAAGGCUGAACCAGCCAUGCCGCGUGAAGGUCAGUGCCCUAUGGGCGUUAAACUUCUUUUGUGCGGGAGCAAUAAUGGUCACGUGUGGCCAGACGAGAGUACCGUACGAAUAAGCAUCGGCUAACUCCGUGUCAGCAGCCGCGGUAAUACGGGGGAUGCAAGCGUUAUCCGGAUUUAUUGGGUUUAAAGGGUGCGUAGGCUGUGAGGUAAGUCAGCGGUGAAAUGCCCCCGCUCAACGGGGUGAAGUGCCAUUGAUACUGCCUGGCUGGAAUGCGGAUGCCGUGGGAGGAAUGUGUGGUGUAGCGGUGAAAUGCAUAGAUAUCACACAGAACACCGAUUGCGAAGGCAUCUCACGAAUCCGCGAUUGACGCUGAUGCACGAAAGCGUGGGUAUCAAACAGGAUUAGAUACCCCAGUAGUC
Molecule: ribosomal RNA, 460 nt
Filed under: uncultured bacterium
Lineage: Bacteria
Description: partial 16S ribosomal RNA
Rfam family: Bacterial small subunit ribosomal RNA
Source: RNAcentral